RNAcentral lists this long non-coding RNA (1079 nucleotides) under Homo sapiens (human). Its description in RNAcentral is "HSALNT0200699". The record is from RNAcentral. Lineage: Eukaryota; Metazoa; Chordata; Mammalia; Primates; Hominidae.
CCUCCAGAUUGCUCGAGGCCACCUGGUUGACUUUUGCCUUGGAGUCGGUCCAGAAAAGCAUUAUUUACCCUUUAAAACAAUGAAAAAUGUGUGUGAGUAGAAAACUUGCUGCAGGGCUGAGAGAUUUCUGAGAAUCUAAUGUGUUGUAUGAACUGACCAUGGGGAUAGCUUCCUGGCUUCAGCUUAGAAGAAAUCCACAGAAACUUCUCUUCACACUAACCAUAUGACAUGCUGUUAACCCCUCUUUACUGGAGCUGGUGCCAAUCUUGGCUCAAGCCAAAGGGGAUACGAAUUCUUAACCUGAGAGUUUCAGGCACUCAUCUCCUGCCAGUUCAGCAAGACCCUAGUUCAAGAAAGAAACUACAGCCCUCAGAAUCAUGCCAGGUAUGAACCUCAGAGGCUGGAGAGAGAAAGAAGCCUCAGCAUGAACCAAAACAUGAAGAAGAACCAAAGAUAGCUCUAUGGCAUUAUUGUUGCAAGAUAGAUGUCCUUCCUAUAUUCCCUGCACUCCACUGCCAGUCUUGCUAAAGUAAACCCCAUACAUGAAAAGCAGAAAUGGAAGAUUAUAAUUUCCACAUGGUGAGGCACCCCUUCUGCCGUGUUUUGCCCUAUUCCCGGAGCCUAGGACACAGCCUUUAUGGAGUGUAGCCUGAUAAUGUAGUUACUGAAUGAAACAAAUCUUCCUGGCACACGUUCUUCACCCCUGAAAACAACAUGGAUGAUGAGUGCAGACUGCAAAACAGCUCACUGGCAAUUGCUCUCAAUUCACUCAAACCCUGCGAAGACUGAUGCCUUGUCAUGAAGACAUAAGAUGAGAAGUUCACCAGUGCUCUAUCAUCUUCUUGGUGACCUACUGGCACCAACUACAGCAGAUCCACUGUGCAUCCAUGAGGCUAGGUACCAUGAAAGUUUUGACCAGAAGGAGCCACCACCAUACUCUUAAAACACAUCCAGAAACUCACCUUUUAUUUUCAAUGCUUGUAUUCUUGUUUUCAGGAUUUUCAUGUGUCUAAAUAUUUCUGUUCAGAAAUUCUUCAAAAUUAUCUAGUACCUCAAAUAAACAGUUAGCAAUAACUAGU